GAAAAGAAAGCCAACCUCCUCCGGUGGAAGCUGAAACUUAAAGAGCCGCUGAAACGGAGCGGCAGAAAUCACUACCUCUCCAAUCCCAGGCCUCUCCGGAUGCCCCAACCCCAGAGGAGGGAGGGAGCUCCCGUUUCUAAAAAGACACCCGAGGACCGGGCCCUGCCUUCUAAGUGACGCCGACCAGCCCGCCGCCUCCUCCUGCGCUCCCCACCGCCCCCC
Molecule: long non-coding RNA, 222 nt
Organism: Bubalus bubalis (water buffalo)
Lineage: Eukaryota; Metazoa; Chordata; Mammalia; Artiodactyla; Bovidae
Exons: 2
Source: RefSeq, a predicted model, not a curated record